Molecule: small RNA, 125 nt
Filed under: Marmota monax (woodchuck)
Lineage: Eukaryota; Metazoa; Chordata; Mammalia; Rodentia; Sciuridae
Source: RNAcentral
GCUGGGUGCAGUGGCCCACGCCUAUAAUCCCAGUGGCUCAGGAGGCUGAGGCAGGAGGAUCGCGAGUUCAAAGUCAGCCUCAGAAAAAUUGAGGUGCUAAGCAGCUCCGUGAGACCCUGUCUCUA